Molecule: ribosomal RNA, 253 nt
Filed under: uncultured bacterium
Lineage: Bacteria
Description: partial 16S ribosomal RNA
Rfam family: Bacterial small subunit ribosomal RNA
Source: RNAcentral
UACGAAGGGGGCUAGCGUUGCUCGGAAUCACUGGGCGUAAAGGGUGCGUAGGCGGGUCUUUAAGUCAGGGGGGAAAUCCUGGAGCUCAACUCCAGAACUGCCUUUGAUACUGAGGAUCUUGAGUUCGGGAGAGGUGAGUGGAACUGCGAGUGUAGAGGUGAAAUUCGUAGAUAUUCGCAAGAACACCGGUGGCGAAGGCGGCUCACUGGCCCGAUACUGACGCUGAGGCACGAAAGCGUGGGGAGCAAACAGG